GCGAUACAAAUUACCUGUGGAGCAGAAAACAAAGAUCUCCUGUUGGCACUCAGGCUUCCUCCUGCUCUAGUUAGAGCUGGAAGGCUGGAAGCAGGAGAGAAAGGAGGUGGAGAUGGGCAGAAAAACAAAACAAGAAUGUGGGGCACAAAAGGACAGGCAGGCAACGGCCUGGCUGCAUCGCCAUUGCCCGGGGCCCCAGGCCUCUCACUGUUCCUUGGCCUCAGUUUCCUAAUCAAUAAAUGAGGAGCCUGGACUACAUCAUUCCAAAACCUUUAUCCCUGCUCCUGGGCACUAUGACCUGGGAUUUGUGAUGGGCCAGCUGCAUAGGAGCCUCCAAGAGGCAAACAGGGUGCAGGAUGGGGCUGGGGCUGAGCUGCCGCCACAUGUGCAGU
This 392-nucleotide long non-coding RNA is filed under the name Homo sapiens (human). RNAcentral describes it as "non-protein coding lnc-ZCCHC10-6:1". The record is from RNAcentral. Lineage: Eukaryota; Metazoa; Chordata; Mammalia; Primates; Hominidae.